CGCUGAUGUCAGUCUCUUGCGCGCAGAAGCUGCUGGUUCACUUCGCGUACAGCUAGUGCUCUGCGCGUCUGUAUAGCCGCGUCGUCUCCGUAGCUCUUCUAUAUCCGCGGUAUAGACGUUCUCCCUAUUGCGUCGAUUUUGCAACGUCGACCCCGGAGUCUAUAUAAGUAGUAUAUACAGAUAGACCGGGGAAGAAUCGCGUUUUCCAAGUCGAGGUCGUGCAGUCGCCAUCAUGAACUCGCUCAUGAAUUACGGCAGUGAUGGCGAGAACAGCAACGAUUCCGACGACGCCAAGGUUCCUGGUCCAGUGGCCAAAUCCAGCAUUCCUGUCAGGAGAGCAAGUGAUGCUAUCUACGAUCCAGUCCCAAUGGACAUGAGUGAGGUCAGUGCUGUACGAGGGUCUUGCAAGACUACCCCAAGUCCUAUUCCGAAGACUUAGGAAAGCAACAACAACAAUUCUUCAGAUGAUUCGGAGAGAGAAAGGAGUCCAGUCAGGCCACAUGUCCCAUCAUCCAAUCGCGCAGAUUCUGCAAAAAACUCUGCUUCAUACUCAGACCAGAGAACGUAAUCGUUUUACAGGCGCAUAGACAAUGAAGAGCGUUCUUCGAGCUCUCGCGAUGGUCACAAGCACAACGACAAGUCUGAUGAAAGUAAUGUAGACAAACAUGAAAAAAAUAAUAGACGCGUAGAUAAAAAGCGUGAUCACAAAGACAGCAAAGAUUCCAAAAGGAGCAAAGAUGAUGAUAGAAAAUCUAAAGAUGAUGAUAAGAAAUCCCGAGACAGUGAAAGGAAAUCACGGGACAUCGAUAGGCGGAAAGAAAAAUCCAGCAAAGAUGAUAAGAAUGAUGAGAAAAGUGAGAGGGACCAUCAUCGUGACGAUCGGAAGGAUAAGGACAGAAGGGAUGACAGAGACAGACGAAGAGAACGAGACAGAGACAGGGGCAGGGACAGAAGCAGGGACAGAGACAGAAGUAGAGACAGGGACAGGGAUCGACGUUACUCUAAGGAUGACAAAUCUAGGGAUCGUCACAGAGAUGAUAGACGCUCCAGAGAGAGGGAUCGGGUGAGAUCGAGGUCAAGAUCAAGGGAUCGUGGACCCUCGCACAGGCCAUUCAACUACCGAGAAGACAGAAGCAAAAACAAACUAGCACAAUUAGAAAAAUUGGGCAUAGAAAUAAAAUCGGAUGAGUUAUUGACAACUUCUAACCAACAAACUUUCUAUAACCCACUUGCAACAGCGACGCAAGGAAAAUACGCUGAACAAAUCCAAAAAAGAAAAUUGCUGUGGCAGAACAAGAAACAAGACGAUACUAAAGCUGCUGCAGCACCAUCGACAGCCAGUACAUGGGUGGGUACAACGUUUACUCACGACCAAGAUGGUAAAGUGACUGCUAAAUUUAAAAGGCUCAUGGGUAUCAAAGGCGAUUUACCAGCUACUCCACCAGCUGGCGCUAAACCUGAAAUUUUAAAGAAACAAGAAGAAAUGUUCAACAACAUGGAACAACAAUACGAAGUCGCUCGUGCGACAACACAUACGCAACGGGGCGUUGGUCUAGGGUACGGAAGUGGAGGUUUUCCAUUCCCACGAUAACUUUAAAUAUUGUAAACAUAAGUUGUAUCGAUUGUAUAGUACAUUUUUCAAUAUCAACUGUACUUUAUCCAUUAUCAAAGAAUGUUCAGAGUGAGUCCUUCAAGAUUUCGCUGGAAGAAUUAUUGCGAUAAAGUCAAGUACCUUGCGAACGCCUUGUAUGACAAAUAGAGUUAAUGAAAUUCUGACAUAAUAAGCUUUUUUUUAAUGAGUGAUAUUACAUUUUCUUUUACAUAUUUCAAAUAAAAUAGCCAUUUAUUAGAAUGCUUAGAUUAAUAAGAAUCAUUCACUCAAUAUAAUUUUUAUUUGUUUUAAAUUCAAAACAAUGUUUCCAUCAUAUAAAUAAGCCAGUGUAAUUAAAAAGAUUUUGCAAUAAACAGGUUGACA
Nasonia vitripennis (jewel wasp) is the source of this 1975-nucleotide RNA transcript. It is a transcript of the gene named arginine/serine-rich coiled-coil protein 2, with no coding region annotated. NCBI's taxonomy places the organism in Eukaryota, Metazoa, Arthropoda, Insecta, Hymenoptera, Pteromalidae. The transcript is spliced from 7 exons. The record is from RefSeq and is a predicted model, not a curated record.